CCUACGGGUGGCAGCAGUGGGGGAUAUUGCACAAUGGGGGGAACCCUGAUGCAGCGACGCCGCGUGGGUGAAGAAGCGCCUCGGCGCGUAAAGCCCUGUCAGCAGGGAAGAAAAUGACGGUACCUGAAGAAGAAGCCCCGGCUAACUACGUGCCAGCAGCCGCGGUAAUACGUAGGUGGCGAGCGUUGUCCGGAUUUACUGGGCGUAAAGGGAGCGUAGGCGGACUUUUAAGUGAGAUGUGAAAUACUCGGGCUCAACUUGAGUGCUGCAUUUCAAACUGGAAGUCUAGAGUGCAGGAGAGGAGAAUGGAAUUCCUAGUGUAGCGGUGAAAUGCUUAGAUAUCACGAAGAACUCCGAUUGCGAAGGCAGUUCACUGGACUGCAACUGACACUGAGGCUCGAAAGUGUGGGUAUCAAACAGGAUUAGAUACCCCAGUAGUC
This 440-nucleotide ribosomal RNA is filed under the name uncultured bacterium. RNAcentral describes it as "partial 16S ribosomal RNA". It matches the Rfam family "Bacterial small subunit ribosomal RNA", at positions 338 to 795 of the family's 1533-position model. The record is from RNAcentral.